This 328-nucleotide ribosomal RNA is filed under the name uncultured eukaryote. RNAcentral describes it as "partial 18S ribosomal RNA". It matches the Rfam family "Eukaryotic small subunit ribosomal RNA", at positions 1470 to 1796 of the family's 1831-position model. The record is from RNAcentral.
CCCUUAGAUGUCCGGGGCUGCACGCGCGCUACACUGAAGGAAUCAGCGUGCUAAAACCAUUGUCGAAAGGCAUUGGUAAACCCAUUAAAAUCCUACGUGAUUGGGAUCGGGAAUUGCAAUUAUUUCCCUUGAACGAGGAAUUCCCAGUAAGUGUGGGUCAUAAGCUCGCGUUGAUUACGUCCCUGCCCUUUGUACACACCGCCCGUCGCUGCCCGGGACUGAGCCGUUUCGAGAAAAGCGGGGACUGCUGCUGUCGGGGCUUUCGGGCCUUGGCUUCGGGGGAAACCGCUUUAAUCGCAGUGGCUUGAACCGGGCAAAANUCGUAACA